UGGGGAAUAUUGCACAAUGGAGGGAACUCUGAUGCAGCGACGCCGCGUGAACGAAGAAGGCUUUCGAGUCGUAAAGUUCUUUUAUAUGGGAAGAUAAUGACGGUACCAUAAGAAAAAGCCCCGGCUAACUACGUGCCAGCAGCCGCGGUAAUACGUAGGGGGCUAGCGUUGUCCGGAAUCACUGGGCGUAAAGGGUUCGCAGGCGGAAAUGCAAGUCAGGUGUAAAAGGCAGUAGCUUAACUACUGUAAGCAUUUGAAACUGCAUAUCUUGAGAAGAGUAGAGGUAAGUGGAAUUUUUAGUGUAGCGGUGAAAUACGUAGAUAUUAAAAAGAAUACCGGUGGCGAAGGCGACUUACUGGGCUCAUUCUGACGCUGAGGAACGAAAGCGUGGGUAGCAAACAGG
Molecule: ribosomal RNA, 403 nt
Filed under: bacterium
Lineage: Bacteria
Also listed under: 1 other name
Description: partial 16S ribosomal RNA
Rfam family: Bacterial small subunit ribosomal RNA
Source: RNAcentral